Molecule: long non-coding RNA, 520 nt
Filed under: Rattus norvegicus (Norway rat)
Lineage: Eukaryota; Metazoa; Chordata; Mammalia; Rodentia; Muridae
Description: long non-coding RNA NONRATT028050
Source: RNAcentral
GGAUUGUACACAGAAUUCUUGCUGCCUGCUUUUUGUCCUCCAGAAAACCAGAAGCCCUGGAGAUUAGGACAAAGCCAAAGUUCCCUUGUUAGCUGGCCACCCCUGCCCCGUUUUUAUCCCCUUGGUCGUUCCUUAUGCCCACAGGGAAGUGUGGUCCCCUGACACCCCCCCUCCCGCUCCUCUUCGCCCAGAAGUGUCGUCUCUCUCUGAGCACGCAUUCCCCUGCAGCAAACAAGCUGGCAGGCAGCAAGGACUGAGCAGAUUGAGUGAUCGUGGGGCAGAGAGGACUAGGAGGAAAGGUGUUCAGCCAGUCGGUUGUAAGGCGCUCGUCGGCACCGCUGAAGUGCUCCCACCUGACAGACUGUCCAGUUACACAUGGCAGGUCCUAGAGACUCAAAAGGGGGAGCUGCUUUCAAGGCUACCUACCAUGUCUGUGUUCCUGCCCCUCAUCUGCUGGUGUUCAUUUUGUUCUUUUGUGACACAAACUACAAAAACCAAUAAAUGCAUAACUGAGAAGGAC